AGUCAAGAAUCAAUCUCCAUUUACUGCAGGAUUCUGGGCUGUUGGGUGGAUCCUGUAUUCCCUUCCCCUCAUGGAUCAGCUGUGCCCUGUGUUUCUUUACAAGUGCAGCUGGGAAGCGUUCAGCUCCAACCAGAACACGUGGCAGGACUUGGACCGAGCUGAGGGAGUGGAGCAGUCAGCAGAGAGCACGAGGAUAUAUCAAUAAAGUUUAAAAGAGAGAUAUAGACACAUUCCACUAGCAGCACCUUUAUGGACUGUUACAAUAUGGGGUCAGACAACAAUCAGAUUCUCCAAGGCAUUGAAACUGGACGGAUUAGUCUCCUUUACUUCUUAUCCAGAAACUCAGAGACAACUCACCUCAGUGAGGUCGAAUUGGAAUAAACACACAUCAGGUGUGAAGAAAUAAAUCUUUUUGCUCCUGAGGGCUGGCAUCGUGCAUGAGAGGGGAUGGAUGGAUCCUUCCUGGUACACUUCUGUUGUUCCAGCCCAGGUUAUUAAAACCCAUGACUCUAGGGAUGGUGAGGCAGGGAAUCCAGAGAAGCCACAGAUCAUAUCGUUGUCUCACUUCUGGAGGAAAAUAACUUUCUUUAUAUUUACUUGAAUUUCAAACUCCACCUUGACAAAUGCAAGAUAAGCACAAUUUUGGACUACAGUGAAAGUGAAAUUUAUAUUGCGCCUCUAUGCCUUCACUGUUCCACUCUCAAAAGAGGAUAUGUAGUCAAGAGAGGUGACGUUUCACCCAUAACACUGGUCCCAUUUCCCCAAGCAAAAAGAGGAAAGAAUGACAGAUUCAGCAUUCUUCUGGUAAUUUAUCCCUGCUCCUCAGUGUUUGGGUGUGAAAGACUCACAGAGCCCAUAAGCCUCCACUGUAGUUUUGAACAGUGAUUUCAAAAUGAGCUCAUUCUGCCAUGAUUCUUCUCAUGACACCUUCCAUGGUUUUUCCAGAUCAGCAACUUUCUAAUAGCAGCAGAGAAGGAAAGAGUAGCUCCAUAAAACAGCAUUAAACAAGGAGGCUCAUUGGUAAUUAAAGUGGGAAUUGAGGUAAAGGAAUAUUGGGUAAAGCCUGCUGGAAUGCCUCUUUGGGAUAUUUCAAACAGUUUUUUGAAAUAACAUUUCUGUCUUCCUGGAGCUAAUUAUGCAUUUGCUCCACACUAAGCAGAAGGCUAAAUUAAUUGCGAGAACAAUAGUAAUUUGUUGCUGGU
This 1202-nucleotide long non-coding RNA is filed under the name Gallus gallus (chicken). Its description in RNAcentral is "lncRNA (ENSGALG00010010026.1)". The record is from RNAcentral. Lineage: Eukaryota; Metazoa; Chordata; Aves; Galliformes; Phasianidae.